ACUGAGUCUUGAAAAGGGUUGCAGCUGGCCUUCACCCAAGGCAUGUGCUCACCCUGUUCAAAUCCACUCUACACCUGUGCACUUACUGUGGGCUUUGGAUCUGUUUUUCGGUUCUGAGGGGUCAAACCUUUGGAAGCGCAAUUCGCUCCAGGCUCACGUUUUUACUACAAACACUUUUGGUAUUAGAAUGUGUAUUGCGAUGUUAAUGCAUCUUUAU
RNAcentral lists this unclassified non-coding RNA (217 nucleotides) under Hexagonia cucullata. RNAcentral's name for it is "partial ITS1". The record is from RNAcentral. Lineage: Eukaryota; Fungi; Basidiomycota; Agaricomycetes; Polyporales; Polyporaceae.